UGGGGAAUAUUGCACAAUGGGCGAAAGCCUGAUGCAGCAACGCCGCGUGAGUGAUGAAGGUCUUCGGAUUGUAAAGCUCUGUCUUUUGGGACGAUAAUGACGGUACCAAAGGAGGAAGCCACGGCUAACUACGUGCCAGCAGCCGCGGUAACACGUAGGUGGCGAGCGUUGUCCGGAUUUACUGGGCGUAAAGGGUGCGUAGGCGGAUGUUUAAGUGAGAUGUGAAAUACCCGGGCUUAACUUGGGUGCUGCAUUUCAAACUGGAUAUCUAGAGUGCAGGAGAGGAGAAUGGAAUUCCUAGUGUAGCGGUGAAAUGCGUAGAGAUUAGGAAGAACACCAGUGGCGAAGGCGAUUCUCUGGACUGUAACUGACGCUGAGGCACGAAAGCGUGGGUAGCAAACAGGAUUAGAUACCCUGGUAGUCCACGCCGUAAACGAUGAGUACUAGGGUGUAGGAGGUAUCGAC
This 465-nucleotide ribosomal RNA is filed under the name uncultured bacterium. RNAcentral describes it as "partial 16S ribosomal RNA". It matches the Rfam family "Bacterial small subunit ribosomal RNA", at positions 355 to 836 of the family's 1533-position model. The record is from RNAcentral.